UUGGUGAGGUAAUGGCUCACCAAGGCGACGAUCGGUAGCCGAACUGAGAGGUUGAUCUUUUUCCCCCCCGGGGGGAGACACCCGCCCCAGAAUCCUUCGGGAGGCAGCAGUUUUGAAUAUUUCGCCACAAUGGGGGGAACCCUGACGCAGCAACGCCGCGUGAAGGAUGAAGGCUUUCGGGUUGUAAACUUCUUUGAUUGGGGACGAAUAAUGACUGUACCCAAAAAACAAGCCACGGCUAACUACGUGCCAGCAGCCGCGGUAAUACGUAGGUGGCAAGCGUUGUCCGGAAUUACUGGGUGUAAAGGGCGUGUAGGCGGGGAUGCAAGUCAGAUAUGGAAAUUCCGGGGCUCAACUCCGGGAGCUGCAUCUGAAACUGUAUCUCUUGAGUGUUGGAGAGGAAAGUGGAAUUCCUAGUGUAGCGGUGAAAUGCGUAGAGAUUAGGAGGAACACCAGUGGCGAAGGCGGCUUUCUGGACAAUAACUGACGCUGAGGCGCGAAAGCGUGGGGAGCAAACAGGAUUAGAUACCCUGGUAGUCCACGCCGUAAACGAUGGAUACUAGGUGUAGGAGGUAUCGACCCCUUCUGU
This 589-nucleotide ribosomal RNA is filed under the name uncultured bacterium. Its description in RNAcentral is "bacterial SSU rRNA". It matches the Rfam family "Bacterial small subunit ribosomal RNA", at positions 249 to 844 of the family's 1533-position model. The record is from RNAcentral.